Molecule: ribosomal RNA, 460 nt
Filed under: uncultured bacterium
Lineage: Bacteria
Description: partial 16S ribosomal RNA
Rfam family: Bacterial small subunit ribosomal RNA
Source: RNAcentral
CCUACGGGUGGCAGCAGUGAGGAAUAUUGGUCAAUGGACGCAAGUCUGAACCAGCCAUGCCGCGUGCAGGAAGACGGCUCUAUGAGUUGUAAACUGCUUUUGUACGAGGGUAAACGCAAAUACGCGUAUCUGUCUGAAAGUACUGUACGAAUAAGGAUCGGCUAACUCCGUGCCAGCAGCCGCGGUAAUACGGAGGAUUCAAGCGUUAUCCGGAUUUAUUGGGUUUAAAGGGUGCGUAGGCGGUCGGAUAAGUUAGAGGUGAAAUCCCGAGGCUCAACUUCGGAAUUGCCUCUGAUACUGUUCGUCUAGAGAGUAGUUGCGGUAGGCGGAAUGUAUGGUGUAGCGGUGAAAUGCUUAGAGAUCAUACAGAACACCGAUUGCGAAGGCAGCUUACCAAGCUACUUCUGACGUUGAGGCACGAAAGCGUGGGGAGCAAACAGGAUUAGAUACCCGUGUAGUC